Falco peregrinus (peregrine falcon) is the source of this 7535-nucleotide long non-coding RNA. RefSeq lists it as uncharacterized. Lineage: Eukaryota; Metazoa; Chordata; Aves; Falconiformes; Falconidae. The transcript is spliced from 2 exons. The record is from RefSeq and is a predicted model, not a curated record.
UUCUAACUGAGAAAGACAGAGAGAUCCUAGCUAUACAGAGUCAAUUAAAUCUCUGCUAAAUGGCUUUAUACUCUGUUUUUUAGAGAUUGCACACAAACAGAGAUGCCUUGUUUAUAAACAAACCUCUUCAUUUCAGAGAAACAUGCAUGUAGUUGUAGACAACAGUAAGGUUUCAAGAGGUUUCUGCUGUUGCUUUUGUGAUGUCAUGUAGUUGUACACCCAGUUUCCUGUUCCUCCAUGCUUAGAGUAUUAAAUAAUAGCAUAUCAAAUCUGAAGUUGUUGAGAAUAAGAAAAAGCAAGGUAUGUUGGACUGGGGUUUUGUAACAUUUCCCCCACUGGGAAUCUGUGCUGGUUGAAAACGGACAGACUGAAUCCAGUGCAACACAGAUCAAUCUGUGCAAAUCCCAGCUACAGUUUGAGAGAACAGAUGUGAAAAGCUGGACUCCUAAAGCAGGGUUUGUCUCCCCUAGCCUUAGAUGUCCACAGUGCAUUUGCACAGAACAAAUCACCUCUGUUUUAGAAAGAGCUAAACUGUGCCCAUUUCUUACUGUGUAAAAGCAGUCUGACCUACUCAUUCAGCUGUUAGGUGAGGUGGGUUCGUAAUGCUUUGAAGACUUCAAAAGUGCCAAGCUCCAUGCUUCGCUUGGGACUACUGACUUUGGUCACUGGGAACUGCCUUUAUCUCCCCUUCUCCAUACUUUCAUGUGGCCUCUCCCCGGUGUUCAGAUGCACUGCAGGGCUCUGUUGACACCGUAGCUAUAGAUUUCUAUUGCACACCUACCAAUCUGGGGAAACACCAAGGUUUCUCACAUGAAAGUGCGUUUUUCUGAAGACACCAGCAUGCUGCUGCCCUCCAUGGGCUUCGCAGCUGCCUCUGAGCAGACCUGUCAUUCGGAUAGCCUCACCAUUGACACUGAGAGUUGCCUGUAGGUGCCAGAAGUGAAGCUCUAGCACAGUCAGGAAAUACAGUUGUCUAAGUGUACAUGUUUCCUAGACAGAUAGUUUUAGUCAAGCUAACUGAAGAACAGUGAAUGAACUGGGGGGCAGAGACUAAGAGGUCCCUCAGGAUGGUGCACAGGAUCCAAGCAGGCUUGUAGAGCCUGUGCUAAAUGCUACACUGCCCUUAGGUCUGCCAUACCCUGCCCCAUCAGAGAGCCCGGGGGCCAUGGCUGUACGCCCCGCUGGGUGAGGUGGGGUGUGGGAAGGCAGUCCAGCCCACACAGGGAGAACUCUGCUCUUCACUAGCAUCCCACUGAGAGAAGAUCCUUCACAGAUGGGAACACCCUGCUGCUCUUGGUCUUGGAAAGGUCUCUUUGACACAUGUCUCACUGGAAGAGUGAAAAACUGUUUCCAAACGUAUGGCCUAAAUUUCUUUCCCCACUCCCCCAUUUACAUGUAGAUACCUCUUGCCCUACAGUCCCUGUACGCCUCACCCUGAACUUCUUAUUUGUGCAGGACCAAAAAUAGAAAACUAAGAUGGUUUACUUAAUUUUGAAAUUUUACAAUUUUACAAACAUGGAUAGCUGGAUUUUCUGGGGGGGUGUGUGUGUGUGUGUGUGUAAUGUGGGAAAGAAGAUUGUUUUCAUUUUGUGAUAAAUUUUUUGGACUCUGUUGCAGUUUCUGUCUUUUCCCUAUAACUCUUGGCAAAAAGACUUAAACAAGAUGAGGAGAGCUCCAGAUGAACAAGCCUGUGUGAAAUUAAAGGAUUGUUGGUUUUUGCGCAACAAAGGCUAAUGAAUUAGUAUGUUGGAAUGAUCUGUUCAUGGUGGACCAACUUCUGUUUUCCAAACACUCGGUUUGGACAUUGGAGAAGACCUUUGUACAGAGGUCCUUGUUUUGAGUACUCUAGUUUUCUUGGAUGAUAUGAAAACCAGGAAUCCUGAACAUAUUGUAAUCAUUUUCAAUGUAGUUGUGCUUUUCCCAGCAGAUGUCUGAAUGUUUAUAAUGCACAUAUCUUUAUGAUGCACAUAAACAUCUUCAGCUUUCAAAAGUUAUAACAGAUAAAGGAAGAGUCAGCUUGCGUUGCUCCAGCAGUUCUGCAUGCACAUCUGACACAUCCUGACACAUCCCCUUCUGCACCAGCAGACAGACUCUGCUGUACUGAAUAAAUGACCUUUAAAUGGUCCUCUUGCAUAUAACACCAUUUCUUCACUUAGCUUGAAGAAACAUCAUCCAAGAAGAAAUGUGGAUCCUAGAUCCAGACAUAUAAAACAGAUUUAAGAACCUUGAUGAGGGGUAAAAGGAGACAAAAGAUAAGAAAAAAAGUUGCAGAUGAAGAGAUAAACUCCAAGAAUAUUUGAUAAAUGAGGUAAAAAUAAAACCUACAUCUUGCUUUUUACUGAAACUGGAGGAGCCAAAUCCUUAAAAUGACUCUUGGAGAUAACAAGAAGAUAACAUUCAUCCUUUUAACUGAACCCUUUGGAUGCUGAUGGGUCACAUUAGCAGAACUUGCAGCUAAGUUGUCCUUCAGACAGAUACAAGAAAGGAGAGUGCAGCUUCUAAGUUUUAAUAAAAACCUGAACUUCCUUUCCUGAUCCAAAGCAUGGUGGAGGAGGUGAGGGAUAACCAAGGAAUUGCCCCUGGUAGGAUCCCUUUCCAAGUUCCUGUAACCAUCUCUGGGAAUAGAGAUUCCCUGCUCACACACCCCUACAUCCCCACACCUCUCCCCCUAAAUUUCUUGUUUACCUCAUUAGAGCCUCACCAUGGCUCUUGGUGGGAGUUUACAAGUUGGUUGAACCAGUUUUUGCUGAUCUGCUGCUGAGCUAACGUGUGGGUCCUUGUUCCCAAGCAGCACCAGGAAAAGCAGCUUGAGAUCAAGCAGCGGUGAGAUGCUGGCUGCCUCCUUUCUCUGGGGACUCCAGCUCUUGGACUCACCCACACAGAGCAACGGAGAGCAGGAGAGAUACUGCUCCUACGCACUAAAGUGUUAACACAGGGCUUAGGUGGAAGGAGUUAAAACCCCCUUACACCAGAAAUGUGAAGGUUCAAGCAGCAGUGUGGAGUCACACAGCGUGAAGAUGGCAGUGCACAGCUGGGCUGUCAUCAGGCAGAACCUUUCUUUACUGCUACACAGCCAAAAUAGCCUACUUACAGACACCUUCAUUUGGGAAGCAGGGACACAAAAAGGUGAAGCCAGGCACGUCCCAAAGCUCUGCCUGAAGCUACCCCUUGGGAGAUGCUCUAGCUCUGGUUCUCUACUCUACUACUCCACAGAAACCUUUUGCCAGUACUGAUGUGGAAUUUUUUCUUCUUCUUUCUUCUCCAUGAACAAUCUACAGUGCCAAAACACAAGUGAAGAACAUGCCUCUGUCAAUGUGCUCUGUAAAUCUAUCUCAAAAUAGUCAUCUUGGUCAAAAGACAUUUCAGUACUUUGGUUCAAAUGUGGAUGAUCUCAUAGGGGGAACUGAAACAAAAUGAAGCCAUUUAUUAAAGGCAGAAGACCUGGAAAUCGGUUAAAACCCUGAAACUCAGGAAAACAUAUGUAUAUAUGUCCAUUCAACAUAAUUUUCUUUUAUUUGUUCCCAAAUCCCUGGCCCCUUGCUUAGACACUGCUCAAAACAUUCAUGUUAUCCCAACUCUAUUCAACAUAACAGAGGCCAAAUAACAGAAAACUGUAUUUUUCCAGAUACUACAUGGAAACUUCACCAGAUAAGUAAAAGGUGGCCAUACACAUAGCCUAGUUUCUGAUGCUUCGUAUUCAUCUUGGCAAGUGUUAUAGGGUGCACGUUGCUGUCAAUAAUAACAAAUUUAUAAACUGCACUAGCACUUCUGGGAACACAGGUUGCACAGGUUUCAUAUCAGGAUUGCUCAGUAGUCACUUUAAAGGACAAGUAGUUUUGUAGGAAACUUUGGGUUUAAAGCAGUUGGUUGCCCUACUUCUAUAAAAUACUUAUAAAAUCUACCAGAGUAAAAACAAUGCAAUUCAGUCACUUUAAAAGGCUUGGGUUUUUCUAUCAACUCUCACCGAUGAGUGGGCAAAAAUAUGAGCUUAAGAUCAAAGUAGCCUAAAAAUUUUGCAAAGUCAAAUACAGGCGCAAUAUUCACUCUCAAGCGUUAAAUUUAUCUUUCAUCACUUCACAUUCACCAUGGUCUAAAUGAAGGACUGAAAAACGUCCCAGCUGACAUGGAGUUGGCAAGCAAGUAAAAACUAAAAAAAAAAAAAUAAUGCCCAGUCAUGGACCAUUAGCCAGCACAUGGCACACCUACAAGGAAAAUCCAGGAAGGCUGGGACCCUGUACCCCAAAGGGCAGGAUGCUGGCCAGGAAGGUUCCUAUGGCUGCUGUGAAUUUCUGUUCCCAGCUAAGUCUAGGCUCUCUCUGUGGACAGGCAGUGCCCCCUCGUAACAAAGAGGGUCUCAUGGAGAUUUGGGAAGAAAUUUGUCAGGACUGUCAGUUUGGGCAUCCACGCACCCAGAACUCAGAUGUAUGCCCAGAUGCAUAAAUGUAAAAGACCGGGACUCAGAUCCGAGAAAGGCUAGAAAACCUAAUCACAGGCUAAGGAAAUGAAUUCCUGGGAAUCACUUUGAAGAGGAUUUUCUCUCCCUGAGGGCCAGGGAGUGCUGCCUGCUGAGGAGGAAGGGUUUCUGCCCCAGAACACCUGGGUUCCACUCAAAUGAUCUUGGUAAUAAAUAUCAUGAAAAACGAUAAAUUAUACCUACUUGAGCUGUGUGCCUUAAGCAGUUGACAUUUGCAAGGCACAAUGAAAUCCUCAAAAUGAAAGACAGCACAUGUGGUGCAUGAAAAGAAUGAUACCAUUGCCUAAUUUCGUUCCAGAGGAAAGCUUCUGCUACCCAGAAUUGCAGUGUGUGUGCUGCAAAGCACAGACAACACGUGGGUCCUUUCUUUUUGUGGUGGACAGGUCUUUACCAUAACCAAGUUCACAAAAAAUGUGUUCUGCUUUCUCUGGAUCUUUGAAGGAGGACUAGGGAGACAUCUUCAUCUCCAAUAGAGAAGGCAUAAAUUCUAAAAUUCAGGUCUGUCUAUAGAUCAUAUGCUUUUUCAUGUAAGGUAGCUGCUGCGAUUUCCCUGAAAUUCACCAGUCUUAAAACAGACUGAAAAAAUGAUCUUACAAGUAGGCAACAAGACUUGAGAUGCUCAUGCUUACUUCUGUGCCAGAGAUUUGAGAUUCCCCAAACUGCAGCAAUUCUGGAGGCUACAGCUUCACCCCAUGCAUGAACAUAGACACCUUGGUGAGUUGUGGGUGUCCCCAUUCCCUGUGACCGCAGGGGAGGAAGCAGUCUUCUCCUUGACAGAUUCCUGCCCUGCAUAUGAGAUCUCUGCAGUAGCACGGGAGCACACUGAGGACUGACACACAGCUCCUUUGCCUGGCUUUUGUCCUUGGGUAGAUGGAGAGUGCACAUGGGAACUUAUUCCUUUACCACUUGUCUUUCUGGCUUUCAAAAUGGGCUGAUCAGAAAAACUCUCAGAGAAGUUACCUGUAACUGUACCUGUGUGCAGGAGCAGUGCUGUCAAGCAUCUUCUGCUGGCGCUGAAAGCAAUGCCUCCUGAGCUCUUACAAUGAGAUUGACUUGCCAGGCAAGUACAGCACUUCGCUGCUGUAAAUUGGUUCCUGGCAAAGAGAGGAUAAAAGCUUAUUGCUGUGCAUGCAUCAUGCCAGUCCUGGGGUCACCUUGGCAUGGGUCCAUCUGAUCCAGCUGAAGAUUAUCGCAUGUGUUGUAGUGGAGGCUCCAGAGCCCGAGUGGCUGGGCUCUUGGUUUUGCAGGCAGGGAGGCUGGGAGGGCACGGGAGCAAGGAGCGGCGACAGGGGCAUGGGAGAGCUUACUUCUCAGGUCACAGCUGCUUUACAUCAUUAUCGCUCUGCAGAGCUGCUGUGGGUUGGCACCCCUGGCAGAGAGAGCAGGGGGAAGCAUGGGGGCUCACGGCAGCAGCCCUGAGCGGGGGCCAGUGAUGGCCUCACCCCACACCAGUGCCCAGGCACCACCGGCUGCAUGCAGUGGGCAGCCAGCCUUUCGGCCUUGCCCUGUUCCCACCACUGAGGGACCUGCCACAGAAUCUGUGCUGGAGCUAACCUCUGUAUGUCAGCUGCCUUUAUAGUCAGGUUGCUACUGUCUUGCUCAUCUGCCCUGUUCAAGACACCUGUUUUAGGAAGAGGUGAAUUGCACCAUUUCUCUCCACUUUUCACUAAUGGGUCGAGGAUAACAUGCAUGGAGACAAAGUGUAGACACUCACUUUUGGUCACAUGAGUCCAAGUCUUGAUCCUGAACCUUCCUAGUCUAUUAGAUACAUCCUGUGGUCAAGCUCCUUCAACAUUAAGAAUAAUGUAAGAAUAAUUAAGAAUACGUAAGAAUAAGUACCUGAAAACUACAUCUGUACUGGUUUUUCCUUUUCAGUAGAUGCCCUUCACCCUGUAUGAAGAAAAAGUUCUGAUCCUCACUUGGAGGUACGUUGGUCUCCUGAGUCUGAAGAUGCCUUUCAACACUUGCCUGGAGGAAUUGUAAGGCCCUUUUUCCAGUCCAUGGGGAGUCCUUCCAAUAGCUGCAAGAGACUCUGAAGAAAUGCUGCAGACAUGCUCUGCAUCCCACUGACCACAUGAUGUUCUCCAGGAAGAUGAGGGGUUCCUCUGCCUAUGUGCCCUUGAGACAGGCUUCAAGGGCUGAAAGCAGCAGGAAAACUGAGGCACUUGUAUAUCAUCAGUGAAAAUGCCUGUAGCACCCUGGCAGCAGGAGUGUCACAGCUGGGAUAAAAUGAAUUGAACAUAACAUGAAAGAUAAGGGCUUCUAGGGGAUUUGCAUGGGCUGUGCUAUUCCUUUUCAUAGUCCAUUCCACACUUUUCUCAAGAAUCCACCGAAGUUCUGAAGAAACCAGGGCACCUGGUCAGCACUGUUAUCUGACUUGGCAGGAAAUGACACUGCUAUGGGACAGACUUAUGAGGGAGCCUAAAGCUGGUUUUGUUCCAGACUGGGAAAAAGCCAAAAUGCUUUCACAAAGCAGAAUAAAGUCACAGCUCCUGUCUCCAUAUUGUUCGCCUUCCUCUCAGUACCUCAGGAACCAUCUCAUCAAAAAUAAUUUUGCAAAUACUAUAUCUUCACAAAACUUUUUCACCAUCAAACCAGUAUCUGGAUACAAAAUAAAACCAGCCAUUAGAAUGUCCAAACCAACUAUCCGCUGUAGGUUCAUCUGGCUGCAGGAACUGCUUUAUAUUUCCCAAGUUCAAAACAUUUUUUUCAAAUCUGUGACUGAAAAAUGCAGAGUAUUUGAACACUAGAAGAGCACUUGGUACCAUGCACAUUUGGACAUAGUGCAAAAGCACCUGACCCAAGAAAAUGCUUUUCAAAAAAACACUUUUUUGGUCAAAAAUGCUGUUUUAUUGAAAACCAAACAGCUUCGUGUCAGCAUUGGCCAACCUUGUCUUAAGUCCUGGAUAUAUUUUUUUCUGGAGAAAAGCCUUAACCCCAGAAUAACCUGAUAACUCAAAGCACACACGAUCCCACUUCUUGGGGUCCUGGUAAGGACAAUAAUCCCUUGGGAAAAUGUCUUUGGCUAUCUUGUGGUUUUUUUAGUAAAUUUUCAGACUGA